GCCUCCAUGGCCAGAUCUCAACGAGAUCCGUAAGCUCUGGCCUCAUCUUCUAUUUUUCAGGCGCCUUCUCCAGCAACGACAGUUGGCAUGGAGUAGUUCGACUUGCUGGUUCAGUAGGUCAGGGGCCUCACCGAAGUGGUGCAGGCCAUGCAGCAAUGGCAGCAGCAGCUGCAGGCAUCUGUGCGGUCGGAAAGAGCAUCAUCGGAGUUUCAGAAUUCGA
RNAcentral lists this long non-coding RNA (220 nucleotides) under Elaeis guineensis (African oil palm). RNAcentral's name for it is "long non-coding RNA (EGUI_LNC071485)". The record is from RNAcentral. Lineage: Eukaryota; Viridiplantae; Streptophyta; Magnoliopsida; Arecales; Arecaceae.